Molecule: ribosomal RNA, 301 nt
Filed under: uncultured bacterium
Lineage: Bacteria
Description: partial 16S ribosomal RNA
Rfam family: Bacterial small subunit ribosomal RNA
Source: RNAcentral
CAGCCGCCACGGGAAUACAGAGGGUGCGAGCGUUAAUCGGAUUUACUGGGCGUAAAGCGUGCGUAGGCGGCUAAUUGAGUCGGAUGUGAAAUCCCCGAGCUUAACUUGGGAAUUGCAUUCGAUACUGGUUAGCUAGAGUGUGGGAGAGGAUGGUAGAAUUCCAGGUGUAGCGGUGAAAUGCGUAGAGAUCUGGAGGAAUACCGAUGGCGAAGGCAGCCAUCUGGCCUAAUACUGACGCUGAGGUACGAAAGCAUGGGGAGCAAACAGGAUUAGAUACCCCCGUAGUCCCUGUCUCUUAUAC